Molecule: ribosomal RNA, 507 nt
Filed under: uncultured bacterium
Lineage: Bacteria
Description: bacterial SSU rRNA
Rfam family: Bacterial small subunit ribosomal RNA
Source: RNAcentral
GAUGAACGCUAGCGACAGGCCUAACACAUGCAAGUCGAGGGGCAUCGGGGUGUAGCAAUACGCUGCCGGCGACCGGCGGAUGGGUGAGUAACGCGUAUGCAACCUGCCUUCAGCAGGGGGAUAGCCCGUUGAAAGACGGAUUAAUACCCCAUAACACAGGGGCUCCGCAUGGAGAUUAUUGUUAAAAGGACACUUCCUUCGGGGGGUAUUCCGGCUGAAGAUGGGCAUGCGUUCCAUUAGGUAGUUGGUUGAGGUAACGGCUCACCAAGCCUACGAUGGAUAGGGGAACUGAGAGGUUGGUCCCCCACACUGGUACUGAGACACGGACCAGACUCCUACGGGAGGCAGCAGUGAGGAAUCUUGGUCAAUGGACGGAAGUCUGAACCAGCCAUGUCGCGUGAAGGAGGACGGCCCUAAGGGUUGUAAACUUCUUUUGCAGGGGAAUAAAGUAUUCCACGAGAUGGGAUAUUGCAAGUACGCUGCGAAUAAGGAUCGGCUAACUCCGUG